Molecule: transfer RNA, 85 nt
Filed under: Campylobacter sp.
Lineage: Bacteria; Pseudomonadati; Campylobacterota; Epsilonproteobacteria; Campylobacterales; Campylobacteraceae
Description: tRNA-Leu
Rfam family: tRNA
About the family: Transfer RNA (tRNA) molecules are approximately 80 nucleotides in length.
Source: RNAcentral
GCGAUCAUGGUGGAAUUGGUAGACACGCUAUCUUGAGGGGGUAGUGCCGUUAGGUGUGCGAGUUCAAAUCUCGCUGAUCGCACCA